AGCUGCUUAAACACUUUAAUUGCUAUGCUCCUCAAUGAGUAAAACAUAUAUUGCACAGGCAGUUGUACAAAAGACAGUCUCAAAAACUUUUUUUUUUCUUGUAUGUGCCACCCACACAUUCCUAACAGGGAGCAGCUUUAGAUUGGAUUUUGCUGGAGAAGGAAAGGAGAAUUGCUCGGGAGGAGAUGGACAGGUAAAAAGUCUUGUUUAUUACGAAGGAUGUUUAACCUGAAGAAGGACCAAGUGAAAAAAUCGAGGGGAAAAAAAGCACUGCAUUUCCAAGUCUUACUUUAAACUCAUGGAUUCCAAGAAAACGCACACGGAACAGA
Molecule: long non-coding RNA, 329 nt
Filed under: Phasianus colchicus (ring-necked pheasant)
Lineage: Eukaryota; Metazoa; Chordata; Aves; Galliformes; Phasianidae
Description: lncRNA (ENSPCLG00000003081.1)
Source: RNAcentral